CAGCAAAUAUCAGCAGCGUAGCAACAUUUGUACCUCCUAUCAGCUGAGCAGUACUGCCCAGAGUGUAUUAAACAGAUCUACUAAUUGCUCUUGUAUCUAUUGCUGUUCAGUAUAUAUGAUAGAUAUUGUAGUGUAUUCACACUGGGGGUCAAAGGUUUGGAAUAAUUAGGAUUUUUGAUGUUUUUGUAAGAAGUCUCUUAUGCUUGACAAGACUGCAUUUAUUUGAUCAAAAAUCAUGUGAACCAGUGAUACUGUGACAUGUUAUUACAAAAUAACUGUUUUCCAUUUGAAUAUAUUUUAAAAUGUAAAUUAUUCCUGUGAAGACAAAGCUAAAUUUCAGCAGUCAUUACUUACUGAAAUCAUCCGAAAUAUGCUAAUUUGGUGUGGAAGAAACAUUAUUUAUUAGUACGUUUUUAUUAAGAAAUUCAUAAUAAAGCAAGGAUGCAUCAAAUUGCUCAAAAGUAACAGUAAAAAGAUUUAAUGUUAGAUGUUUAUUUAAUGUUUCUCGUGCUAGAAAGACAUGUUCUUUGUGCUGUUCUUUAGCAGGGAGUUUUAACUGCUGGAUACUUCACUUAUAACAUUAAGAAAUGUUGCUUGAGCAGCAAAUUGCCAUGUUAGAAUGAUUCUGACCCCCAGUGGGUGUGUAUUUUCAUUGAAACACUAUGACGCUCUGACUUUAAAGGAAAUCUGCUGUGUUUCAUUUGUUGCAAAUGUGUUUCAUUCUGGCAUUUCUUCACUGUGACUUGUGUAGGAUUUGAAAUCAUGAUUCAGAGAAAAAUACAAAUGAUUUCAUUAAAAGUCUUAAAAAGCUUAUCAAGAUCUUUUGUUGAAUGCAUGAUCUGUUGUAGACCACAACAACAUUACAACUAUCUCACUUACUGUAUUGCCCUUAAUUAUGCAAUAAAAUGCAAAUCUGAACCCCACUGUGAAAUGUGAAAUAUACUAUUAUAGCAGUAGAAUUCGUUAGCAACAGUGAGACAGGAAAUUACAGGAAAAAAAAGGAGGGUGGUGGGUGGCAAGACGGUAACCACUAUUCUCCAAAAUGUCAUGCAGGAAUGCAAAUUUUAGUUUCACAGAAAAACAUAGCUACACAAUAAAUGCAUUAUAGCUAUCA
This is a long non-coding RNA of Cyprinus carpio (common carp), 1114 nucleotides long. The record is from Ensembl. Lineage: Eukaryota; Metazoa; Chordata; Actinopteri; Cypriniformes; Cyprinidae.